This 460-nucleotide ribosomal RNA is filed under the name uncultured bacterium. Its description in RNAcentral is "partial 16S ribosomal RNA". It matches the Rfam family "Bacterial small subunit ribosomal RNA", at positions 338 to 795 of the family's 1533-position model. The record is from RNAcentral.
CCUACGGGCGGCUGCAGUGAGGAAUAUUGGUCAAUGGACGAGAGUCUGAACCAGCCAAGUAGCGUGAAGGAUGACUGCCCUAUGGGUUGUAAACUUCUUUUAUAUGGGAAUAAAAUGUUCCACGUGUGGGAUUUUGUAUGUCCCAUAUGAAUAAGGAUCGGCUAACUCCGUGCCAGCAGCCGCGGUAAUACGGAGGCUCCGAGCGUUAUCCGGAUUUAUUGGGUUUAAAGGGAGCGUAGGUGGAUUGUUAAGUCAGUUGUGAAAGUUUGCGGCUCAACCGUAAAAUUGCAGUUGAAACUGGCAGUCUGGAGUACAGUAGAGGUGGGCGGAAUUCGUGGUGUAGCGGUGAAAUGCUUAGAUAUCACGAAGAACUCCGAUUGCGAAGGCAGCUCACUGGACUGCAACUGACACUGAGGCUCGAAAGUGUGGGUAUCAAACAGGAUUAGAUACCCCUGUAGUC